Molecule: long non-coding RNA, 1016 nt
Organism: Panicum virgatum (switchgrass)
Lineage: Eukaryota; Viridiplantae; Streptophyta; Magnoliopsida; Poales; Poaceae
Exons: 4
Source: RefSeq, a predicted model, not a curated record
CAUUUCUGGAUAUGUUAAUUGGUGAUCCUUAGGUGCUCCACCUAUCCGACGCAGCUCCCCUCCUCCCGGCGGUGCUCCCCUCCUGCGACGCCGCUGCCUCAUCCCUGCGCCGCUCCCUCUUAUCGACGGCCCUCCAUCCUCCCGACACCGCUCCCCUCCUGCGACGCCCCCCCUCCCUGCGCCGCCGUUCCUCUCGUCGCCGAUCCAGGCACUGGUGCCGCCCGCUGCAAGCUGCUGGUUAGCCCUCCGUCGAUCCCACGAUGCGAGAUCUUGGCCUCCUAGGUCAUUAACCUCCGUCCUGAUCUGCUUCGCCCGUUCCUAGCUCCCUCCGCCUGAUACUGGACUUAUCGCAGUAGAAUUUGAUCGCAAAUGUGUAUGUGUUUUGCUGUGAAGUUUGUGUGAGCUCUGCAAUCAGCCUGUUGUUGGUGAUCAACCUUAGUUCGCUGCCUAUCGUCUCUUUUAACAACAUGCUAUAGUGGUUCAUUAGACAUUCAUCUGCUUCUGUUUCAGGCCUUGGUCAUAUCAAGAUGGAAACACCUCCCCAUUCACUGAGGCCAAUCAAUAGGUGUCACCCAGCUUGGGAUUAUGUCGCUUCCGCUCCUCCCGUCACCGGUGCUCCUCCGGCGCUCCGUGAUGUCGCUCUGUCCUCCCGUCUCCCCUAGGAGAGUACUGCCGACGGCGCCGGAUCCUGCGACCAACCUCUUUCGGCGUGCCAUCUGCUCAGGAGCUUCCUCAACACGCCCUCCAUCUCUGUUUGCUCCCAUUGCAAUAUGCAUGCUGGAUACCUGCACAUGAGAUGGUUGAUUGGCUAGAUAGUUUCUGAUUUCCUUUUUGUUUAUUGUUCCACCAUAUUGUAAAAACAGGGUCAAUAAAAUAGCAGAAUGCAUUGAGUUUUUAUGAACUCUUAUCGUGUGCUCGGUUUGAAUAUGGUGAAUGUAAAUACAAAGUGUUCUCAGUUUUGUGAUAAGAGAACUUACUGCUACUUUGCAUAGAAUUGAAGUUUUUAUGAUUGCAUA